ACGGGAGGCAGCAGUGGGGAAUAUUGCGCAAUGGGCGGAAGCCUGACGCAGCGACGCCGCGUGGGGGAUGACGGCCUUCGGGUUGCAAACCUCUUUCGCCAGGGACGAAGCUUUUGUGACGGUACCUGGAGAAGAAGCACCGGCCAACUACGUGCCAGCAGCCGCGGUAACACGUAGGGUGCGAGCGUUGUCCGGAAUUAUUGGGCGUAAAGAGCUCGUAGGCGGUGUGUCGCGUCGGCCGUGAAAACUUGGGGCUUAACUCUGAGCGUGCGGUCGAUACGGGCAUCACUUGAGUUCGGCAGGGGAGACUGGAAUUCCUGGUGUAGCGGUGAAAUGCGCAGAUAUCAGGAGGAACACCGGUGGCGAAGGCGGGUCUCUGGGCCGAUACUGACGCUGAGGAGCGAAAGCGUGGGGAGCGAACAGGAUUAGAUACCCUGGUAGUCCACGCCGUAAACGUUGGGCGCUAGGUGUGGGGACCAUUCCACGGUUUCUGUGCCGCAGCUAACGCAUUAAGCGCCCCGCCUGGGGAGUACGGCCGCAAGGCUAAAACUCAAAGGAAUUGAC
RNAcentral lists this ribosomal RNA (564 nucleotides) under uncultured bacterium. RNAcentral describes it as "bacterial SSU rRNA". It matches the Rfam family "Bacterial small subunit ribosomal RNA", at positions 341 to 914 of the family's 1533-position model. The record is from RNAcentral.